CUUUCGUUCAAAACCAUCCCUCUCUAUUCUUCUUCCUCACUUUCCUUCUCUCUCUCUCGUCUUCUCUUCCACUUACCUCUUUUUAUGAAAUUUUAUGAAACCCUAAUAUGCCGCCGCCGAGUCACCAAAGUUCAAGCAAAGAAAGAACCGAAAAAGAUAACAACAAAUGGCAUUUGGAUUAUGAUCGAUAAUCAAAGAUCCAGCAAUCGACAGAGAACGGUGAAGAUCUGAUGCACGUCCAACCGGCAUCGACAUAGCCCUCGCCAAUCUUUCUCGGGAAUCACGUGACACUAUCUACAUUACAACCAAGUAAGUAAAAUUUGGACUCAUUCACUCAUUCAUUCAGAUUCGUAAAUCAUGAUUCUUGCAGUUGUUUAUUUGUGUUGUUGUUCUUGGUUUUAAAGACCAGUGAUAUGUAUUGGAUUAAUUCCAAUAUUUUGCAUAGGAUAUGUAUUUUUUAGUUUUUUUAUUUUGAUUUUUGUAUAAUGCUUUUCGAUGAUUUUGACACGAACUACCUGGGACUGCAACAAAGUUACAACAGCAAGGCGUGGAUCUUAUGGCGGAGUUCGAUUGGAAAAAAACGGUUGCCUUCCAGAUUUGUAUCGAAGUUGCCUCAAAGAAUGGUGGGUUUAGGGUGAACAGCAGAUGGCAGACUUUGUGGAAAGUCAGUUUUUGGGUGAACAGUGUUUCUUUUUAUCAGAUAGAUCUUGGUGGUGGAAAUUUAUAUACUAAUAGUCGGGACUGGAUUCAUUAUCGGAUCUUUGCUGUUUUGCUACAUCCAAACUAGCUUUGGUGUUGUUAUUUGCUGGAGCUAUGGCGGCUUUGUUGCAUUAUGACUCGAGGCGUUUAUAGCCUGAAGAAUUCCAAAUGGCUUCAGGAAAAUAUUACGGAUACGCAUAUGGUGAGUGACUGUUGAGAUGAAUUUAUGUGUUUUCGUCUCCGAUUAUAUGGUAUCUUAGAAACUCAUAUUUCAUUUCAAUCUCUCUUUCACUAUUUCUCACUCUGUUCAUAGUUGGAACUUAAUGUUUUGUGACUUUUGAACCAUUUAGCAAUGACCUUACUAUGGUACUUGGACAACUAAUACACAAUAUUUUUGAUUGCAUUGGUGAGCUAGAGAUGAUUUUCAGAAUUAACACUUAUAAGUGGCUGCCCAUAUCUUCAAUUGAUCUGGCUGCCCAUAUCUAUUUCAUUUGUUGCUCAAGUGAAGGUAUCUGAAGGUUGAAUUUUAGAGUCUUCUCUAGCAAAUCCACAUGCUGAUUAGAAGGCUGUAGUAUCAAAUGUACAGAAUCAAAGAUUGCUUCCAAGUUAUCAACCACAUCUUGGUUAUGCUACCUUGAUCUUAGGAUAAACAAACUCAUAUUAUAAACCUGAUAAAACAUUGUUAACACCAUUAUGGACUCAGAAAUUCAUGCUAAUAAAUAUGCAACCAUUUACACAUCUGGAUACAGAAUCACAUUUGAUAUUUCUGAAUCUUUUAUCACAAGCCUUCUUUUAGGUUUUGGCGGGUCGGUAGCCUCGAGUUGCAAAAGAAGAAAAGCACAAAACAAUUCCCUUUGUACAUCCAAGUGUGAGAUUGUGCAGCAUAGAUUCGGACAAAGGUGUUGAGUUGGUUUGGAUGAAGAGACAUUUAUAAGUAUGCAUAAGUGUCUGAGACAUUAAAAUAGAAGAAGAAUGAUUUUAAAUUCAUAGUUUUCUUGAAUUUGUUACAUGCAUAUUUGAAGAAUUAGUGGUAA
Molecule: long non-coding RNA, 1733 nt
Organism: Vicia villosa (hairy vetch)
Lineage: Eukaryota; Viridiplantae; Streptophyta; Magnoliopsida; Fabales; Fabaceae
Exons: 6
Source: RefSeq, a predicted model, not a curated record